RNAcentral lists this ribosomal RNA (498 nucleotides) under Ptilinopus regina. RNAcentral describes it as "partial 12S ribosomal RNA". It matches the Rfam family "Bacterial small subunit ribosomal RNA", at positions 844 to 1513 of the family's 1533-position model. Lineage: Eukaryota; Metazoa; Chordata; Aves; Columbiformes; Columbidae. The record is from RNAcentral.
UCUUGAUGCUUACCCCACUAAAGCAUCCGCCCGAGAACUACGAGCACAAACGCUUAAAACUCUAAGGACUUGGCGGUGCCCCAAACCCACCUAGAGGAGCCUGUUCUAUAAUCGACAACCCACGAUACACCCGACCACUUCUUGCUAAAACAGCCUACAUACCGCCGUCGCCAGCCCACCUCCCCUGAGAGCAUAGCAGUGAGCGUAAUUGCCCUAACCCCGCUAACAAGACAGGUCAAGGUAUAGCCCAUGAAGUGGAAGAAAUGGGCUACAUUUUCUAACCUAGAAAACCCUUAAAUUCCAACGAAAGGGAGUAUGAAAUACCUCCCAGAAGGCGGAUUUAGCAGUAAAGCGGGAUAAUAGAGCCCCCUUUAAACRGGCCCUGAGGCACGUACAUACCGCCCGUCACCCUCCUCAAAAGCUUCCUUCCUUUAAUAAAUAAUACACCCACCCGCCAAAGACGAGGUAAGUCGUAACAAGGUAAGUGUACCGGAAGGU